UGUUUGAACGUUGAUUAUGUUCUGUUCCUUCGCGUGGUGCGGCGUUUCCCCGUGUCCCGCCAACGACGAAUGCCAGGCGGCCUGCAGCAACGCUUCGCCGCAGAUGUGUCGGACUCCUUCUAGAUCUUCGUGCUUCUCAUUUCUGCGACGACUCCAAGGAUGAGCGGUGUGUCAGUAGUGCUCCGGCUGAUGUAUGUUGGGGCCCGGGCAGGCUUCCCCGAGGCUGCUGGCCAGGACUGGAAUUUGGGCGAUAGGCUGGGCAGGACUGGGAGCGCAUCUGGUUCCGUUGUCGCUUGGUGUUACUGCAGUUACGGCCUGUGUUGCUGUGUCCUCCGUGCUGCGCCCUCCUAGUUGCGCGGCUGACGCGUUGGGUUGCCCGGGGUUUGGCAAACCGCUGCGGGCAGCUUGUGUCAUUGGUGAGAUGGUCGCUGUGGCACUGGGUGCACUUCGGUGUGCACACAUGGUCGGCCGGGAAGUUGGGUACUGCACACUUGAAGCAUAUUUUUAUGUGCGGCGUGGGGCAGACGUCGGCCCGAUGCCGCGCCACCAGACAUUUAGUGCAAACCUGUCCGAUGGGCCGGUAGGGAGGCAGCGCUGGAGCAUGCUCUGGUACUGGACGUACGGGGGGUCUUGCGUCCCUCAAAAGUGACAAGGGCCGUGCCAGUGUUGCCUAGCACACUUCCAAAUUUUCUCCACUAGACCUGAGCUCGAGUUUUCCGGGGUGAGUGUCUAGCGUCAGCAUAUGUCCACGUGCUCACAUCGAUCACAUGAAUAGGUAGCGCUACUUUUUGUGAUCAGUUAGAGUAGCUAUGUGCUUCGUUUAGUUGGUCUAUGAACAGUAGCAGGUUGAAUACGAGCGAGAACAGCGAGAGACACAUUCAGUAGAAAAGUGUCCGUUUGAUGUCGAACUCACGACAAUUACCUCACCGUGAUACAAACCCUACAAACUAGUUUUACAUCAAAGGCAAACCGAAGACGCCAUCGGUACUGUUAAUAGGUUAAUGAGGCAUCUGGAAAAUGACUGCCAUAUGAUUGUUCAAUAAAUAUAUAAAUAUCUAGUGCCCAGGUCCCUAUACCUUAAAUAGUCUCUCAACAUUCCAACUAAAGAUUUUUUUCGGAGGCUAACUUUUAAAGAGAUUGUAUAAAAGGUUUUGACAUAAAAGCUCAAAAUUGUCUUUUCCAAUAGUGGGAAACUCUGCUCCAAAACGCGUUGUUCCGUGCUACAGGAGCUGGUCCAAUUUGUCAGUUCCACCACUGCUUACCUAUGUCCAUGCAAACAUGACAUAGCUCUGUGAUAGUAGGAAGGCUUCCCAGAUUCGCCUAUGCACGCAGGCUGGCAGCUUCUGGCAAUUUCUUUGACCCGGGAAGCCCCACACCCACCACAUAAAGAGCCGGUAUGCCGUGUGCCGGAGUAUUCUGAAAAAAGAUAACAAUUGCGUAUCCACUCCUUUAAGAUUUCUUGUUCAACUUGCUCAUCCACGAGUAUCAUUUAUUGUCCCUGAUGCUCUUUUGUUGCCUGCCACAUCGCGCACACACGACGCCACUAGCGUGUAUGCAGGAUCGCCGGUGCGUGGGUUCGCUCAGUGCAAGCGACUUUCAAAGCAACAUACUCGCUCUUGUAGUUUCUGCUUCGCUCGCACUUCAUGUGAAAUAAAAGAAAGAUGUGCUCAAGCGUA
RNAcentral lists this long non-coding RNA (1676 nucleotides) under Ixodes scapularis (black-legged tick). RNAcentral describes it as "uncharacterized LOC115315147, transcript variant X2". Lineage: Eukaryota; Metazoa; Arthropoda; Arachnida; Ixodida; Ixodidae. The record is from RNAcentral.